AAACGUCACACCCCUUACCUUAUCUGACUUCACCUCCGGAGGCUGGUGCAAACAACAAGCUAUGGCUAAGCUAACGACGGCGGCCAUCCACCACUAUCAAUUUGAGUGAAGAAACACAAGCCGAUAGACUCUGAAGCACUUUCACAACAAAAGCAGGACGUUUCACAGUGGUUUUGGGGUAAUGGACCAGGUUCCAGUUCAUCCUACAUGUUUGAUACACCAUGCAGGCGUGGUGAAUCUGUACACCCCACAGAACAUCCACAACUGUGUAAACUUGAUUCUGAAAACUAAGGUUUCAUUAUACCAAAAAAACCCACAAAUGACAAAUAAGUCUUUUGUCAAAAGAACUUUAUUUUUUAGCAAAUGUAAAAAACAAAACCACAAAAAAUGUACUAAAUAAUAUACAAUAGAUAGAUAUAUAAAUAUAAACACAGCAGUGUUUUAUCUGCAACACUAAUAGUGUCCAAUUCUUUCCAUUCAAGCGUUCAUCCCGUCCUGUGUUGGAUAGAGUUUCCUGAUCCGGCUGGUCACUGCAUUGGCCUCGUGCUGCCCCUUGGCUGAAGUGAGAGACGUGUCAGGCAACCACUUCCUCCUUUGAGGGUCUCUCAUACUGGGAUGCCAGGUCCUUUGGGAUGAGAAUUUUGGAGAAGACAAGCCUCAUCAGGUCAUCUACAGUCUGUAAAAUAUUGAACUUAAAUCUUGAUUUCCUUGUGUUUUUAAAUUAAGUGCUUCCCUGAAUCCACCUUUCUUGUAUUUCAAGUGUUGCCAUAACUAUUUCAUUUUUUAAAUAUUUUUUUAUUAUGUUGGUAAUAAAAAUAAAAUUAUUUACAAAUUUCUGCA
Epinephelus lanceolatus (giant grouper) is the source of this 840-nucleotide non-coding RNA. NCBI's taxonomy places the organism in Eukaryota, Metazoa, Chordata, Actinopteri, Perciformes, Serranidae. The record is from RefSeq and is a predicted model, not a curated record.